RNAcentral lists this ribosomal RNA (405 nucleotides) under uncultured bacterium. RNAcentral describes it as "bacterial SSU rRNA". It matches the Rfam family "Bacterial small subunit ribosomal RNA", at positions 355 to 776 of the family's 1533-position model. The record is from RNAcentral.
UGGGGAAUAUUGCGCAAUGGGGGCAACCCUGACGCAGCAACGCCGCGUGUGUGAUGAAGGCCCUAGGGUCGUAAAGCACUGUUGGGUGGGAAGAAUUUUGACGGUACCACCUGAGGAAGCACCGGCUAACUCCGUGCCAGCAGCCGCGGUAAUACGGAGGGUGCAAACGUUGUUCGGAAUCAUUGGGCGUAAAGAGCACGUAGGCGGCUCAUUAGGUCGGGUGUGAAAUCCCGGGGCUUAACCUCGGAAUUGCGCUCGAAACCGGUGAGCUUGAGUCCUGGAGGGAGAAGUAGAAUUCCUGGUGUAGGGGUGAAAUCCGUAGAUAUCAGGAGGAAUACCAGUGGCGAAGGCGACUUCUUGGCCAAGGACUGACGCUGAGGUGCGAAAGCGUGGGUAGCAAACAGG